AGAAAAAUAAGCUAACUAAGCUACUGGGUUCAUACCCCAUUUAUAGGGGUUUACCCCCCUUUUUUCUA
RNAcentral lists this transfer RNA (68 nucleotides) under Flavoperla hatakeyamae. RNAcentral describes it as "tRNA-Met". It matches the Rfam family "tRNA". Rfam says of the family: Transfer RNA (tRNA) molecules are approximately 80 nucleotides in length. Lineage: Eukaryota; Metazoa; Arthropoda; Insecta; Plecoptera; Perlidae. The record is from RNAcentral.